UCCUCCUACCUGUCCAAUGUGGAUGUCUACC
This 31-nucleotide non-coding RNA is filed under the name Homo sapiens (human). Lineage: Eukaryota; Metazoa; Chordata; Mammalia; Primates; Hominidae. The record is from RNAcentral.